RNAcentral lists this small nuclear RNA (293 nucleotides) under Jaculus jaculus (lesser Egyptian jerboa). Its description in RNAcentral is "7SK RNA (ENSJJAG00000000965.1)". It matches the Rfam family "7SK RNA". From Rfam's summary of the family: 7SK was discovered as an abundant small nuclear RNA in the mid-70s but a possible function has only recently been suggested. Two independent studies have found that 7SK RNA binds the CDK9/cyclin T complex (known as elongation factor P-TEFb). The record is from Rfam by way of RNAcentral. Lineage: Eukaryota; Metazoa; Chordata; Mammalia; Rodentia; Dipodidae.
GGAUGUGAGGGCAAUCUGGCUGCGACGUCAGUCACCCCAUUGUUCGCCAGGGUUGAUUCAGCUGGUCUGGCUGGCUAGGCGGGUGUCCCUUCCUCCCUCACCGCUCCAUGCGCGUCCCUCCCCAAGCUGCACGCUCAGUCGAAGGGGACAACCUUCCCAGAACAGCAGAGACCGGUCCUCGGUCAAGAGUAUACAGUAGCUGCACUCCCCAGCUACAACCUCCAGACACACUCGCAAAACCCUACCUAAGAAAAUAAUAGGCCUCAAGAGAAGUACUUACAUGAGAACUGCUU